AGGUAAAGAUUUAUAUUUUUAAUAUUUAGUCUAUAUAAGUCUAUAUGACACCUGUUAUUGUAUAUCUUUCUGUUCACUGACUCGCUGUAUCUACAGAUAUAUUUACGAUCUCUCCACCUAAACAACAAUCAUGAGAUGCUUAAUGAUUACCGUCUGUAUUGCCCUGUGCACAGUUACAUUUGGAGAAUCUAAAAUAAGAAGCAAGAGACAAGCUGCUUUUGGAUACGGUGCUGUAGAUCCCGCUGCUUAUGGUGGGGCGGCGGUUGAUCCAGCUCAAUACAGUGCCUAUGGCGGGGCCGUGGUUGAUCCAGCUCAGUAUGCUACGUAUGGUGCAGCAGCUAAUCCAGCUGCCUAUCAACCUGCUUACCAACAAGUUGCAGCUCCAGCUGCUUAUGGCAAUGCUGCUUAUCCACAACCAGCUUACCAACAGGCAGCAGUUAACCCUGCAUAUGCUCAACCUGCGAGUCCAUACGGUUACGCUGUCACUCCUUAGAUUACCAAUUCUAUCUUAAUCAGGGCCCUUGUUGGACUGUCUGUGGCAUCCGAAAAUCCCCCUUAAUAUGCGUUGGGUUCUAGGUGUUAUUUGAAAAGCUUUAUGAAGCAGAAUAAAGCACGUAUGUGUAUUUAAAUGAUGGUAUAUUGUAAAUAUAUUAAAUAUAAGUGUGUUAAUAAUGCUUAUAUUAUAUGGAAUAAAAUAUAUACAAAUUGUAUAA
Patella vulgata (common limpet) is the source of this 713-nucleotide long non-coding RNA. RefSeq lists it as uncharacterized. Lineage: Eukaryota; Metazoa; Mollusca; Gastropoda; Patellidae. The record is from RefSeq and is a predicted model, not a curated record. The transcript has 2 exons.